Molecule: transfer RNA, 70 nt
Filed under: Camelus bactrianus (Bactrian camel)
Lineage: Eukaryota; Metazoa; Chordata; Mammalia; Artiodactyla; Camelidae
Also listed under: 2 other names
Rfam family: tRNA
About the family: Transfer RNA (tRNA) molecules are approximately 80 nucleotides in length. Their secondary structure includes four short double-helical elements and three loops (D, anti-codon, and T loops). Further hydrogen bonds mediate the characteristic L-shaped molecular structure. tRNAs have two regions of fundamental functional importance: the anti-codon, which is responsible for specific mRNA codon recognition, and the 3' end, to which the tRNAs corresponding amino acid is attached (by aminoacyl-tRNA synthetases). tRNAs cope with the degeneracy of the genetic code in two manners: having more than one tRNA (with a specific anti-codon) for a particular amino acid; and 'wobble' base-pairing, i.e. permitting non-standard base-pairing at the 3rd anti-codon position.
Source: Rfam by way of RNAcentral
GGGUAUAGCUCAGUGGUAGAGCACAUGCUUAGCAUGCAUGAGGUCCUGGGUUCAAUCCCAAGUACCACCA